RNAcentral lists this ribosomal RNA (465 nucleotides) under uncultured bacterium. Its description in RNAcentral is "partial 16S ribosomal RNA". It matches the Rfam family "Bacterial small subunit ribosomal RNA", at positions 28 to 507 of the family's 1533-position model. The record is from RNAcentral.
GACGAACGCUGGCGGCGUGCUUAACACAUGCAAGUCGAACGGAAAGGCCCUGCUUGCAGGGUACUCGAGUGGCGAACGGGUGAGUAACACGUGGGUGAUCUGCCCUGCACUUCGGGAUAAGCCUGGGAAACUGGGUCUAAUACCGGAUAGGAGCCAUUUUUAGUGUGAUGGUUGGAAAGUUUUUUCGGUGUAGGAUGAGCUCGCGGCCUAUCAGCUUGUUGGUGGGGUAAUGGCCUACCAAGGCGGCGACGGGUAGCCGGCCUGAGAGGGUGGACGGCCACAUUGGGACUGAGAUACGGCCCAGACUCCUACGGGAGGCAGCAGUGGGGAAUAUUGAACAAUGGGCGCAAGCCUGAUGCAGCGACGCCGCGUGGGGGAUGACGGCCUUCGGGUUGUAAACUCUUUUCGCUAGGGACGAAGCUUUUUGUGACGGUACCUAGAUAAGAAGCACCGGCUAACUACGUG